This 253-nucleotide ribosomal RNA is filed under the name uncultured bacterium. Its description in RNAcentral is "partial 16S ribosomal RNA". It matches the Rfam family "Bacterial small subunit ribosomal RNA", at positions 524 to 776 of the family's 1533-position model. The record is from RNAcentral.
AACGUAGGUGGCGAGCGUUAUCCGGAUUUACUGGGCGUAAAGGGUGUGCAGGCUGCCCCUCAAGUGGUGUAUGAAAGGGCUCGGCUCAACCGGGCUAGGUUAUGCCAGACUGAGGGGCUAGAGAGCGAGAGCGGGACGUGGAAUUCCGGGUGUAGUGGUGAAAUGCGUAGAGAUCCGGAGGAACCCCAGAGGCGAAGGCGGCGUCCUGGCUCGCAUCUGACGCUCAGACACGACAGCAUGGGGAGCAAACAGG